RNAcentral lists this ribosomal RNA (497 nucleotides) under uncultured bacterium. RNAcentral describes it as "partial 16S ribosomal RNA". It matches the Rfam family "Bacterial small subunit ribosomal RNA", at positions 28 to 507 of the family's 1533-position model. The record is from RNAcentral.
GACGAACGCUGGCGGCGUGCCUAAUACAUGCAGGUUGAGCGCUGAAGGUUGGUACUUGUACCGACUGGAUGAGCAGCGAACGGGUGAGUAACGCGUGGGGAAUCUGCCUUUGAGCGGGGGACAACAUUUGGAAACGAAUGCUAAUACCGCAUAAAAACUUUAAACACAAGUUUUAAGUUUGGAAGAUGCAAUUGCAUCACUCAAAGAUGAUCCCGCGUUGUAUUAGCUAGUUGGUGAGGUAAAGGCUCACCAAGGCGAUGAUACAUAGCCGACCUGAGAGGGUGAACGGCCACAUUGGGACUGAGACACGGCCCAAACUCCUACGGGAGGCAGCAGUAGGGAAUCUUCGGCAAUGGACGAAAGGCUGACCGAGCAACGCCGCGUGAGUGAAGAAGGUUUUCGGAUCGUAAAACUCUGUUGGUAGAGAAGAACGUUGGUGAGAGUGGAAAGCUCAUCAAGUGACAGUAACUACACAGAAAGGGACGGCUAACUACGUG